AAUUAAAAUAUUUAAGUAGUAAUAGUUAUGUUCUUGAAACUUAAAAAAUUUGGCGGUAUUUUAGUCUAUCCAGAGGAACCUGUUUUGUAAUCGAUAAUCCACGAUGGACCUUACUUAAGUUUGUAAUCAGUUUAUAUACCGUCGUUAUCAGAAUAUUUUAUAAGAAUAUUAAUAUUCAAUAAUUUUUAUUAGAAUUUAUAUCAGAUCAAGGUGUAGCUUAUACUUAUGUAAUAAUGGGUUACAAUAAAUUUAUUUAUACGAAUAAAAUUAUGAAAAAGUUUUUGAAGGUGGAUUUGGUUGUAAAAUUAUAAAGAUUAAUAAUUUGAUUUUAGCUCUAAAAUAUGUACACAUCGCCCGUCGCUCUUAUUAUUAAGGUAAGAUAAGUCGUAACAUAGUAGAUGUACUGGAAAGUGGAUCUAGAAUGA
This 425-nucleotide ribosomal RNA is filed under the name Drosophila mettleri. RNAcentral describes it as "partial 12S ribosomal RNA". Lineage: Eukaryota; Metazoa; Arthropoda; Insecta; Diptera; Drosophilidae. The record is from RNAcentral.